Lineus longissimus is the source of this 75-nucleotide non-coding RNA. Lineage: Eukaryota; Metazoa; Nemertea; Pilidiophora; Heteronemertea; Lineidae. The record is from the annotation of a RefSeq genome assembly.
GCAUCGGUGGUUCAGUGGUAGAAUCUCGCCUGCCACGCGGGAGGCCCGGGUUGGGUUCGAUUCCCGGCCGAUGCA